AAUUUAGUAGCCGAAUGGAAAAUAAAAAAAUAAUUUCUCUUUGGCGACCAAACUUUUAGUUGCCAAAAACGUACUUUCAGCGACAAAAAGAAAGUUUAGUCGCCAAAACUAAAAUAUUUGGAGGGAUUAAUUCAAAAUUUGGAGAGAUUUUAUAAAACUAAUCGGCGACUAAUUGAGAUUUAGUCGCUAAUGGUCUUUUCGCUACAUUACACUUUUGGCUACAAAAAGUUUAGUCGGUAUUGAUUAUUCUUUGGCGACUAAAUAUAAUUUUAGUCGCUAAAGGUAGAAACAAUUUUUUUGUUUUAGAGGGAACUGAAUAUUGGUGCCCGCGCCCCUCUUUCACACAAAUUUUUUUUUUUUUCAGAUGAGAAGACAAAAAUAGUUGCGUCAUUUUCUUCUUAUUCUGUUCAAUCUCUUACUGCUUUCACAUUUCAUCUAUCAAUUCCCACAUUCCUCCAUCAACUCUCUUCAUUCCAAACCCUAAUUCACUACUUUCGUUAUCCAUAUCAUCAAUAAACUAAGUCACUGACAAUCAUGAAUUUUCAAACCCUAAUCAACGCAGAUUCGAUCUUCAAAAUUCAAUCAGUUUGGUUUGGGGAAUUGGAGGGACGAUGAGUGCUCAGAAGAAGAGGAAUUUUCAGAUAGAAGCUUUUAAACAUCGGGUCGUGGUGGAUCCGAAAUACGCAGAGAAGACUUGGAAGAUCUUGGAACAUGCGAUUCAGGAGAUAUACAAUCACAAAAUUGGUUGUGUUCUCUCUCUCUCUCUCUCUCCUUGGGCUCACUGCCUCCAUUGCCUUGUUUCGACCACUUGCUCUUUUGGAUUUCGAGUGAUUGUCUGCCUAAACAUGCGAUUUUCAUCCUUCAUUGGUGUACCCAGAUGGGAAAAUGAGUCAGCAUUUUGCAAGCUUAAAACCUGGCGAUGUAGUGGAAGUGAAAGGGGUUUCUCUUGCAUUUUGGUUUUAUUGCUCCAUUGUCAUAUAAAAUAUUGGUUCUAUACCCUUAUCUAGUAACUCUUCCUUGAGUGAUCUGAAAAUGGCUUCGUUGUGUGGACUUGUGGAUAAUUCAUAUUGGUGUAUGGAGAAGAAUUUUCCCUUUCGUAUAGAACUAAUAUAAUAAUUUUGUCGUCAUCGACUUUUGGAUAGUUCACUAUUAUUGAAUAUGAUGGUUGGAAUAAUCAAUACAGAUUACGAUGGUAAUUUGUACCAUGCCAAAUGGUCAUUUCACAUGGUAUAGUAAAUGUAAUUUUUGUAUAUGUACUUUUUAUAUGAUUGUAUAUGUUGUAUGGAAUUAUUAUUUUAGUUUGGACAAUAGUUCGUUUGUAUGUACUUGGACAGUUAAAGUAAUUUAUUUUUUGUAUACGGAUGCAGAUUGUGGAAUGAU
Long non-coding RNA from Camellia sinensis, 1380 nucleotides. RefSeq lists it as uncharacterized. The record is from RefSeq and is a predicted model, not a curated record. NCBI's taxonomy places the organism in Eukaryota, Viridiplantae, Streptophyta, Magnoliopsida, Ericales, Theaceae.